This 449-nucleotide ribosomal RNA is filed under the name uncultured Bifidobacterium sp. RNAcentral describes it as "bacterial SSU rRNA". It matches the Rfam family "Bacterial small subunit ribosomal RNA", at positions 173 to 640 of the family's 1533-position model. The record is from RNAcentral. Lineage: Bacteria; Bacillati; Actinomycetota; Actinomycetes; Bifidobacteriales; Bifidobacteriaceae.
CUCCAGUUGAUCGCAUGGUCUUCUGGGAAAGCUUUCGCGGUAUGGGAUGGGGUCGCGUCCUAUCAGCUUGACGGCGGGGUAACGGCCCACCGUGGCUUCGACGGGUAGCCGGCCUGAGAGGGCGACCGGCCACAUUGGGACUGAGAUACGGCCCAGACUCCUACGGGAGGCAGCAGUGGGGAAUAUUGCACAAUGGGCGCAAGCCUGAUGCAGCGACGCCGCGUGAGGGAUGGAGGCCUUCGGGUUGUAAACCUCUUUUAUCGGGGAGCAAGCGAGAGUGAGUUUACCCGUUGAAUAAGCGCCGGCUAACUACGUGCCAGCAGCCGCGGUAAUACGUAGGGUGCAAGCGUUAUCCGGAAUUAUUGGGCGUAAAGGGCUCGUAGGCGGUUCGUCGCGUCCGGUGUGAAAGUCCAUCGCUUAACGGUGGAUCCGCGCCGGGUACGGGCGGG